Long non-coding RNA from Phyllostomus discolor (pale spear-nosed bat), 174 nucleotides. RefSeq lists it as uncharacterized. The record is from RefSeq and is a predicted model, not a curated record. The transcript is spliced from 3 exons. NCBI's taxonomy places the organism in Eukaryota, Metazoa, Chordata, Mammalia, Chiroptera, Phyllostomidae.
UACCGGUCUGGAUGGAUGUGGUUUCUUUCAUUCUUAGUUGCCAGACUUCCAUUCAGCUCGAUUUCUGAACAGUUCUGGGUGAUGGUUGUUCCAUAUUUUAGCUGUAAUUUUGAUGAGGUUGCGUGAAGAAGCAAGUCAUGUUUACUUAUGCAGCCAUAAUUUUUUUAAACAUAU